Molecule: RNA transcript, 3165 nt
Organism: Mauremys reevesii (Reeves's turtle)
Lineage: Eukaryota; Metazoa; Chordata; Testudines; Geoemydidae
Gene: PLEKHD1
Gene name: pleckstrin homology and coiled-coil domain containing D1
Exons: 14
Source: RefSeq, a predicted model, not a curated record
UGCCAUCAAUGUGCUCUCAGCACUGGGCAAGACAAAACCAAGGCAAGAAAGAUCGAACGAUGUCAGAGACAGACAGAGAAGGCAGGAUGCAGGAACUUGGAACAACAUUAUUCUGUGGUUUCUUGUGAGAAUUGGGGAAGAAGUGUCUCUUGGAGGGACUUUGCAUGGGGUGGGCGAUGGCUGGGGAGCUGUUCCUUGGCGAUGGAGUCAGAGGAGAUGAAUGGAGUGGUGAAGCUCGCCUUGGAGCAGCAGAAGGAGUAAUGUGUUCCAAGUCCCAGAGCUGGAAUUGUCGAGUUGUGUAAUAUAUUUUAUUGCCGGCAAUGGCCCUUUAAGGAAGAAUGAGACUGGUGUCACGGACAAUACCCGUUCAAACCAGAGUGAGCAUGUGAACCCUACCCACUGGCUUCCAGAAAGGAAAGCUCUCCAAAUAGAUGAGGAAGUCUGAUUGGAGCUCACUGAUUCACACCCACUCUGCUCACCUUGCCCCACAAGCCAAUCAGAAGAACUCAUGAGCAGGCACAAGACUUUGGGGGCAUGUGUCACAGAAACAAGCCUGGCAAUUUGCAGACUGUCCCCUCUGACACUCUGGGACUCCUGAGUGUUCAGGGUAAUAACCAUCCUUACACCCUGGCUCUCACACAGAUAAUUAGGCUUGCUGCAUUAUUUCUGAGUGUGCACUCUCUCUCUCUCUCUCUCUCUCUGUAUUCCUGGUCUGUGGCUCCAUUCAGCCCUCUGACUCAUGGGCUGGGACCUUUGCGCUCUCUGUAAUGCAUCACAAAGUGAUACGAAAUGAAGAUACUUUCAUCAUCUCUGCAUCAGGGGGAGAAUUAUUGCCUGAGCACUGAGCAGUCCUGUUAUUGAUUUAAACCAUAGCCUCUGUCUCUCUGUUGCAGUGGCUGGUGAUGUCCUUCUGGGUCGUUGCAUUUAAUCGGAUUCCCUGAGCUGCCAGGCACAGGGGGAGAGUUAGAAUAAAAUCCGUCUACGAUGUUCACUUCAAAAUCCAACUCUGUCUCCCCUUCUCCGUCCAUGGAACAGGCAGACUCGGAUGUCUUGGAUAUCAGCACCAAAGUGCAGCUGUAUGGCGUGCUCUGGAAGAGACCCUUUGGGAGGCAGUCUGCCAAAUGGUCCAGGAGGUUCUUCAUCAUCAAGGAGAGUUUUCUGCUUUACUAUUCUGAGAGUGAAAAGAAGAGCUUUGAAAGCAAUAAGUACUUCAAUAUCCAUCCCAAGGGCGUCAUACCUCUGGCAGGCUGCAUUGUGGAAGCCAAAGAAGAGCCCAACAUGCCUUUUGCUAUGAAGAUCUCCCAUGAGGACUUUCACGGUAACAUUGUGCUGGCAGCGGAGUCAGAAUUUGAGCAGGCUCAGUGGCUGGAGAUGCUGCAGGAGUCUGGAAAAGUGACCUGGAAGAAUGCUCAACUGGGAGAAGCCAUGAUUGAGAGCCUGGAAGCUCAGGGGCUCCAGCUGGCCAAGGAGAAGCAGGAGUAUUUAGAUAAGCUGAUGGAAGAGACAGAGGAGCUGUGUCUGCAGAGGGAGCAAAAAGAGGAGCUGGAGCGUCUUAACCAGGUACUAGAGGCAGAGAAGCAGCAGUUUGAAGAGGUGGUACAGGAGCUGCGGCUGGAGCAACAGCAGAUUAAACGGGAGCUGGAACUGACAGCUCAGUCCCUCAAAGGAGUGGAGGAGGAGAAGAAGGAACUACGAAGCCUGACAGAGUCCUUACAGAAAACACUGGAGGAGCUCUCCCAGGAAAAGCAGAGAACUCUGGAGAUGCUGGAGGAGAAUGAGAGCCAACUUCAGCCCCUGGCCAAUGCUAGCAAGCAGCCAAACCCCACCGGGGGUCUGCACAGCAACCUGCGCCAGAUUGAGGAGAAGAUGCACCAGCUGCUGGAGGAGAAAGUCUUGGCGGAGAGAAGGAUGAAGGAAAAUGAGGAGCGGUCCCGAGCCUUGGAGGAGGAGCGGGAGUUUUACUCAUCUCAGUCACAGGUGCUGCAGAACUCGCUCUCAGAACUGACUGCAGAGAAACAGCAGACGGAGAGAGACCUCAAGGCUGAGAUGAAAGUCCGUAUGGAUCUAGAGAAGAGACUGAGGGAGGCUGAGGAAGCCCUACAUAGCUUGGAGCAAGGCUUAAAUUCUCUGGAUCGCAACAAAGAGAAGGAGGAGAAAAUGAAAACAGAUGUCAGCAAUUUGAAAAAGUUCUUCGAGGAGUGCAUCCGGAAUGCCGAGCUGGAAGCCAAGAUGCCCAUGAUCAUGAAGAACUCCGUGUACCUCCACAAGGCUGCCACCCGCCGGAUAAAGAGCUGCCGGCUUCACCGCAGGAGGUCCAGCGCUUCAUGGAAUGACUUGAAACAGUCCCAGUCGUUCAUCUUCUCCCAGACAGAAGCCGAUAACAUUGAGGAGCUGAAGGAGGCAGCCAAGAGGCUGAGCCGGGAUCAGCACUUCCGAGAAACCCUCUAUCAAAUCAUGAUGUCACAAAAAAAUUCUGCCUCAGGGGACGAAAAGUGAAUCCUUGUCUCCUCCCAUCAGGAGGGGGCUUCUGAUCUCAGCUCAUUGUUCACCUCAUCAGAAGUUAAACCACUGGGGUCAGGGGGAGGAUUUGCUCCUUUGUGGGGAAAGGGGCAGGAUGGAUGCAUGCAAUACCCUUCAGGGUUGUGGCUUUUAGUGUGCGUUCCUGAGCAGUGCCAAUUUCUCUUUCCCUAGACUACAGGGAAGCUCUGACGUUCCCCCCAAAUCACCUCCCUUUACUUCAGCCGUUUCCAUUAGGACGUGUUCUGCCAAAAUCCCACAAUCAGUGUUCAAAUGAAUCACACACUUUAGCUUAGGGAGUGUCGGGUCAUUUCUUCACAGUCUAGUCCCGCAGCCAAAUGUAGGUGCUGCUGAUAAACCCCUUUCUUAGCCUAAUGUCCAGCUAGUGAAACUAGCAGAUAAGCCACAGCCCAAUUGCUCUGUCUUGCCUUCUUUCUCAGCUGGUCCAAUACAUCCCUCGGUAUCUGUGCUGGGAAGGAGGAUGUUCCUUAUCAUGUUUCCUAGACACUGCAGCUAUAUCAAUCUCCUAAGCGCGUGCAAUGACGUCAAGCCCGGAACAACCUCUUGAUGUAGAACCCUUUAAGCAGUUUCCCAUCUCAGUGCCCUGCACUAGCCUGACGGCGUCACAUUCUGAUACCUUGCUUGGGG